This is a long non-coding RNA of Pteropus alecto (black flying fox), 416 nucleotides long. RefSeq lists it as uncharacterized. NCBI's taxonomy places the organism in Eukaryota, Metazoa, Chordata, Mammalia, Chiroptera, Pteropodidae. The transcript is spliced from 4 exons. The record is from RefSeq and is a predicted model, not a curated record.
CUACACAUGCGCGCUCGGCUUCUGGCAGUUUUUUUUAUGGGUUGCGUUCUUCGGGAGGUUACGGGAAGGAAGAGUGACUGUGCGCAUGCGUGGGCACUCCCAGCCUCGGACUUCUAUUACCUUGGAGACGGAGAGGCGCUCUGCCUCCUUGGCCAGGGUGACUCACAUCUGGAGCAGUGAGCCAGGUUCUCAGCAUUCAAGAAUUUCUACAUCCCACCUCAGCGGUUCAAGUCUGGAAAAGUAAAUGGAUGAGCAAACUGUGCCUCAGAGGGAAGUAACCUCCCAAAGGUCACUUUGCCGCAACAGAAGACCUAGUAUUCAAACCAGGUGCUGAGGUUACAUCAGGGAAUAAAACAGACAAAAACACCUCUCCUCAUGGAAUAUACAUUCUCCUGGGUGAAGAGAGUCAACUAAUA